RNAcentral lists this ribosomal RNA (504 nucleotides) under uncultured bacterium. RNAcentral's name for it is "bacterial SSU rRNA". It matches the Rfam family "Bacterial small subunit ribosomal RNA", at positions 791 to 1301 of the family's 1533-position model. The record is from RNAcentral.
UAGUCCACGCCGUAAACGAUGGUUACUAGCUGUUCGGACUUCGGUCUGAGUGGCUAAGCGAAAGUGAUAAGUAACCCACCUGGGGAGUACGUUCGCAAGAAUGAAACUCAAAGGAAUUGACGGGGGCCCGCACAAGCGGUGGAGCAUGUGGUUUAAUUCGAUGAUACGCGAGGAACCUUACCAGGGCUUAAAUGUAGUCUGACAGCUUUAGAGAUAGAGUUUUCUUCGGACAGAUUACAAGGUGCUGCAUGGUUGUCGUCAGCUCGUGCCGUGAGGUGUCAGGUUAAGUCCUAUAACGAGCGCAACCCCUGUUGUUAGUUGCCAGCGAGUAAUGUCGGGAACUCUAGCAAGACUGCCGGUGCAAACCGCGAGGAAGGUGGGGAUGACGUCAAAUCAUCACGGCCCUUACGUCCUGGGCUACACACGUGCUACAAUGGUCUGUACAGAGAGUUGCUAACUGGUGACAGUGUGCUAAUCUCUAAAGCAGGCCUCAGUUCGGAUUGG